CACCACAAACCCGCACUCGGUACCUAAAUGAGGAAUAUCCUUUUUAUGGUUAUUAUACUUAUUACUAUUUCCAGAAUCUAGACAAGUCGUUGAAUUAUUUUACGGUUUAAAAACGAACAAACAAACAAACAAAAGAAAAAAAACAAACCUCGAUUGCUUUGCCUUUUUAAAGUAUAAUUCAAAUAACUUGUUGCUUUUCGCUUGAAAAUGCAACGUUGUUUAAUUAUUGGCGACUCUUCAUUGUUCCUUGCUUCCUUCGGCUUUCCAUCUUUAUCAGUCAGUUCUCGCUUGUCGAUAUUAAAUUGUUAAUGACAUAGGAAGCAAAUUUAGAUUCAUAUACGUUACGGCUACCUACAAUAACAGAAAUUUUCACGAAAAGAAAGCUAAAGAAAACAUACUAUGAAAAGAGAUUAGAUUUAUAACCUGCAGCGUUCUUUGUAGCAAGGUCAAGCAUUACUCCUUAAUCAAUGUCGUGCAGUUAUUUCCCGGCCUUGAAAUAAUUUUGCUCUUAAAAUGUUCACUAAUGGAUCAUGGUACUUCAACGACAUGCUAAAAUAAGAUUCACUCUCCAUGAUUUCUACGUAUUUUCGUUUGACGUGUACUGUGCAGUAGUAUUAUGGCCUCUAGUGUUUAGAUAAUUAUCAGGCUUUCACACGCAAAAUACAAUACAUUGCUCAAAUAAUGAUGUCACAGAUUGUGUCAACAGUAAUAUAUUGACCAUUAAAGUCCAUUAAAAUGAACUUGUAUUCAACAACUUUAAUUUCGUAAUUUGCCAGUUUUUGUUUCUUACAUUUACUCAAAAGGUGGUAGUUAGCGUGAUUUCACUUUGCGUUAGAUCUAUUUUUCACUGUCGAAGCCAAAAAUGUUCUUUUUUUUAUCUAAAUCAGUGGCAUCUAAUUUGGUUCUCCCUCCCUAUAUAUUAUUACAGAAAUUAACCUUUUAGAAGUAUCCCUCUUUUAAUGAUCUGUGACUCGUGUUAGGAUUUUUAACCCCUCGAUAAUUAAAACAUUGAAACGUCAGACCUAUUUCCUGUCGGGAGUAGAUUUAGAGCCACGUUGCGCUUUUUUGCCUAAAGCGAAACGCUAUUAGACCUCCUUAGCAAAAAAGAAAACUACGUUCAGCUUAGUGAAAAAUACUUCAAAAUUAAUUAGGAAGUUUCGUCUAUUUCCUGCCUGACUUGUAUUUGGUUGGUGCUUAUGAAAUCCUUUUUGCACAUUUUCCCCGACCACGCAAACAUCAACCUGCCAUAUAGGAUGAUCCAUCCGAUUCCACAGUAACAGUAAUUACUGCAUUGGCUGAUAUCACUAUGGGUCCGAAAAUGUUGAUCACAGUUUGGCUGGGAAUUCUUUUAUGUAUUGCAGGAACAAGCUUGGUAACUGCUCAAAGUCAUUACCCAUGGUUUGGCCAAAAAUCAAAUCAGGGCCCUGCCCCUGGUAAACGAUCAGCGAUCCCAAGAAACCUUGAGGCACGAAACUUUAUCCGGGGGGAGACAUUAUGGAAACGGGUGAACCGCCAGAGAUACGAUGAAGACCGCUGACCACCGAGCCGUCUGCCAAACGUGCGAGCCAAAACAACGUUAACUUAUAGACACUUAUACAUUGUAAGAAUAAAAGUUAAAAGAUGUUGGCAAUAACAGAUUUAAGAGAAGCAGUGUGUCUCAUGGUAACGCUGUUGUAAUGUUCUAUUAUGAGGUGAAUAAAGUGAGUUACACUGUUCACAAGA
Long non-coding RNA from Orbicella faveolata, 1722 nucleotides. RefSeq lists it as uncharacterized. Lineage: Eukaryota; Metazoa; Cnidaria; Anthozoa; Scleractinia; Merulinidae. The record is from RefSeq and is a predicted model, not a curated record.